Molecule: long non-coding RNA, 804 nt
Organism: Clupea harengus (Atlantic herring)
Lineage: Eukaryota; Metazoa; Chordata; Actinopteri; Clupeiformes; Clupeidae
Source: Ensembl
UGGCCCUCUUCAUGCAACAGGAGUGGCAGCGCUACCUGGACGGCCUGGUCCAUGAGCGGUUCAGAGAGAUGGAGAGGAGACUCCAGCAUCGUAAGACCAUGGUGCUGAACCACGCCCAGCAGCUGGAGAGGCAGUGGAUCCUCAGGGAAACUUCCCAGCCCGUAAAGUUUUACCAUCUACUGCUGAUGGAUCCACUAGAUGGCAGGAUUGGGAUCAAGAGAAUGAGGAAGCUUGAUUUGGCCAAGACCCGUGGGGAGCAGAUCAGCUGGCAGACCACCAGUAGGAGCCACUCAGGCAGAGAGCUGAGAAGAGGAAGAAGACAGGAGAGAAAACACAUGACCCCUUCAGACUGUGAGGAGGAGAGCACCAAUCAGGAUCAGGGAGAGGAGCAAGAGUGGUGGAGGAAGAAAGAGAGGAAAAGAGAGAUGGAAAAGAAGAAACAAAGGGGAGGUAGUGAGUUACAGGGAGAAACUAAGAGAGGAGAUCAGACUGCUGGAGAAAGAGAAGGCGAUGAAGGCAGUGAUAGGGGGAAAGAAGACAUGGUGUCAGGGAGAAAUAGAUGACAUGAAUGAAGAAAACAAUGGAAUUGAGAUAGGAAAUGUAGACAUCAGGCAGGACAGAGCAGAGGGAAAGAGGAUGGAGACAGAAGGACUGAUUGAGACAAACACAAACCCGGAAGAGAUGGAGAGAGAAAUUGAACAACAACAUCUGGAGACCGCAGAAAAUAUAUAUUGUGGCCGAUCAACUUAGUCCUGCCAAUUCCUACAUAGAAAGUGUGGAAGGAAACUCUGGAAAUUUGCAGUG